GGGAGAUCACAACCUGUGCCGAAGUUGGACACCUAACCGACUGAGCCACCCAGGUGCCCCACUCUGUAACUUGUUGGUUCAGAUUUUGUCGUAAGCCUUUUUCUUUUUUUCAUCAUUCUUAAUUUCAUUUAGCAGAAUUUUAACUCCUAGGAACCUUGAAGGAAAACUAAGUAGCAACCAAUUGUAAACUGGCUGUUACACCAGAAUUCUUUAGAUCUGAAAUUUAUGAAGACGUUUCACAAUUUUAAAGACUUGCUUCUCCAUAGUACAAUCUUUGAUUUCUAAUCUCUGUCCUCCCACCUCACUAUGCUCUGUAUCAGUGUCGCUGGCCUUCCCAGAUCCCUAUCCUGGCGUCCCAUGACCUGAUUUGUGGGGCACUAAGCUGAGUGGACAAUGUUCCUGUGUCCGAGGCAAUCCUGGUUGUGGGAAAGCAGGGGGUGGUGGCCUGGUUUAUUCCCAGCGGCUGUCCUCCACCUCUCCUGCCCGCCGCGUCUGCCCUUCAUGUAGAAAUGUCUCGCCCGCUCUCUCCCUCUCCUCUCAAUGCCCCCCAUCCAUCUCACUGCCCCGUUUCAAUAUGAAUGUUAAUACUGACCCAACCCCCAGUCCCCCCACACGUUCCUUUCUACUUCCUUUCUUUCUUUCCUUGUGCUGUACCACUCAAGUCGCCACCUCCAUGGCCAUAUCCUCAAUUGCAUUCUAAGUAGGAGCUGUUUCUGCUCAGGGUUAUCUAAAGAAGGGCCACCUCGAUCUUUCCUCUCAGAACCACAGACAAGCCUGUGAAGCAUCGUCGUCCUCGUGAGCAUCGGUUGAGUGUGGACCUACACACGCGCUGUCCUGAGCCCGCUUUGGUAGCUUGUUAUCUGUUACAGUCACUCUGGCACGUGGUCAUCCGGGGGCAGAAUAAAAUCACUCAAUCCAAUGGCUAGGAAUCAUGGAUUCGCGUGCAGAUGGGCGGCCUGCGCGGAAGGGGUAGGAAACCAAGCAGCCGCGGGAUGGUUUUUGUGCAGACUGAGCUGGGGCGGCAGGCAGGCAGGGAGGCCUGUCAGCCUCACAGUUGACAGGAGGCCUCAGCUGCUGUGCUGUCUGAGCCACCAGAGGCACACAGGCGGGGAAACAACCCCACCCCGGGAGUUCCCUCAACAGGAGGGCAAGACGCGCAUUUGAGCAAAUGAGUACAAGGAGCUCCGGGCACAGUGCUAGAAGCCAUCCUCUGGCGGUGAAAGGCAGAUGCGCAAGCAACAUUGUCUCGGGCCAGGAAAGUCACAGGUUCAUGGCCGUGUAGGUUCUCCGGGUGGAGGAGAACAUUGCACGUAAUGGCAGCCGUAUCUCAGUCCCCGGAGACAGAGACGGUUCAUUCGGGCCAGGUGAAGCAGAAGGUGGGAUUAGGGUAGGGCAGGAGUGCCAGUUCCAGAAGCAGGGUCCUUUGACUCUGAAGCAUGGGGCAGGCCUAGAAGCUCAAGGAGUGUGGGGGAAGCCGGAGUCCAGGGGAGUCUUGCCAGUGGGAGGUCGCUGCUGAGGUGGGGAGGUUAGAAAAGGCUUUCGCAGCGUCCAGCAGGCCCACGCCUGUGCCUCACUCGUGAAGGCAGCCUGAGCCCGGUGCUCAAAAAACACCGAUCUCUAAGCCCGGUGAUGUCCACGGCCGCUCCCCUCCUCCCGGGUGCCGGGCAGCUGAGGGGGCCGUGAACCUGGGAGGAAGACGAGGGCCCUGCACCCCGAGAGGAGGAGUUGACCUCCCUCUGGGCCGGUUCCCACCGCAGCCUCCGUGAGCCCACAGCCCCGCGCUGCCCAGCCAUGUGGUGAGAGACAGCGUCCUUUCCUGCUUCCAUCCCCUCCGUCCCAAGAGUCCUGCGGAUCAGGAGCCGGAUGGCUGGCUGAGCUGAAGUUCAGGGACAUGUGAAAGUGCAAAUGCCUCCUUUCCCACCCCACCCCCACGUCUGCAUCGUCAAGCAUGACCACAGAACGUCACGAGAGACGACAGCCACUUGUAGCCACCUGCUCCAUGCCGACACAUCGGUACCUCAGCGUCCCCGGGUCAGGCCAGGGGAGAGCCAGCCCCCCAGGUGCCCUCAGCCCCCAGGCCUGCUCUCUGUUUGGCGGAGCCCUGGAUGUGAAGGUUUUCCAGUCCCUCCCGGGGAUUCUAGGGUCAGAUUAAUCUUGUCGACCCUUGGGGAGGGACUCAACUAUGCUAAGUCCAAGAGAGGGUAUAUUUUGCCAUCUUGACGUUGACAUCAAUAUUUACAAAACCGUUGACCAUCCCAGGCCAGCUCUGUGUGUGCAGUGUAAUAUUCCUAGCUAGCAAGUCUUAUUCGGGAUGCCCCGGGCAAAUGAACUAAUGUCAACACUGUUGGCUCCUGUUCACUGCUGGGGGUUCCAGUACUGCCCGGGGUCAGGCUCUCUUCAGCAACAGGCAUGGAGACCCGUGCACAUCUGCAUGGGGGCUUCCAGGUUCCCAAUGGUCCCAUCUAAUGGCCUCAUCCUAAUCUGGCCUCAUCUGGAGGCUGUUAGAGACUUUCACGGGCGGGGGAUUCCAGUCCAGGAGUAGUUAGGAAGAUUGUAGAAUCCUACUUUGGAUUUUAAGAGACACAGAGCACUUCUGACCAUUGACAGAGAGCUUGUCCCUCUUCUCCAAAGACAGUCCAAGAAAAGGAACUUCUGGAACUGAGAACCAAACUGUCCAGACAGGAGAGACUCUUGCAGAGCACGGCUGAGAGUCUGAAGACUGCCGACCAGGAAUGGAAGAGGAAAUUGUGCUGUGGAUGGAUGGUGACCAGAGAGGCCAGGGGAGGGGGGAGACUGAUGUGAUGUCCCCAAACCUCCUGGCCACGAGUAAUUGUGGAUGCAGAGGGAGGAGUGCAUGGGGACAGCAGGAGACCUUGAGCUGAGUGAUGAGAAAAACACCCUUUAGAACAAACACCCGGGGCUGGUCUGGGCCCAGCUGGUCAUUUCUGCCUCGUGGGGCUGUUCCACUGUUUCAGUGACCACGACACGUGAUAUUUUGAAGAAGGCAAAGACGAAUGUGUAGGUAAGGAAACCACAGCACGAGUCAGAGCCACAGAGCCCACCCCAAACCCAUCCCCGUCUGUCUUCAGAGUCUGCAGGUGAUCCCCGACCUGCUCUGACCUUCCGGCUGAAGAUUUCCAGGCCUCUUGUAGGACACGGGUCCUCAGUAAGCAUCCUUGUAGCUUCCUUCCCUGUCACCCCUCCCACCUCUGCCAUCUUGGUUCCCUAUCACAUUGUCGCCCUCUUCUCUCCUCACCCACUUAUCCCUCCUUUUGGAUGGUUUGGGGUCUGGAGAAAUGCAAUUCAGUUGGUUCUCAAUGUCAGAGGACAUCUGGGAGUCUGCGUCCGAAUUGGCUUCCAGUACAGGGAUCCUAGGGCCGGUUGUGUGUUCCCAUUUUUCCCAUACCACUUGACGGAAAAGUAAAAGCCAGAGGCAACCUACUAAGUCAGUUGCACUGCACACUGUGGGGCUGAGAACAGCAAUCAGAUUUUGAUACGUCUUUUUCUUUAAGCAACAUUGCAAAAGAAACCCACUGGAUCUUACUGGCAUAAAAGCAAAUGUGAUAAUAAAUGAAACCUGAAACUUCCA
Molecule: long non-coding RNA, 3589 nt
Organism: Felis catus (domestic cat)
Lineage: Eukaryota; Metazoa; Chordata; Mammalia; Carnivora; Felidae
Exons: 2
Source: RefSeq, a predicted model, not a curated record